This is a long non-coding RNA of Candoia aspera, 1283 nucleotides long. RefSeq lists it as uncharacterized. Lineage: Eukaryota; Metazoa; Chordata; Lepidosauria; Squamata; Candoiidae. The transcript has 2 exons. The record is from RefSeq and is a predicted model, not a curated record.
UAAAUAAAUAAAGCCAUCAUUUAUGGCUUUAUGAGAGCUUGGCUAAAUCCUAGUUUAGUAUAAUGAGUUAACCCUGUAAAUGUGUGUGAGAUGUUUUGAAUUCAAAAUGGAGCCAGAUCAGAUGGCCAAUAUUGCUGUAGCUGGGGCAUAUUUCUGCAAAGCUGGUCACCAUGCCCUCACUGAACAUUCGGCACCCAACCCGCGCGCACCCCCAGCCUAGUGCUAAUGUGGCCAGAGACCCCCCUUCCCUUUCCUCUCCCCCCUCUGCCAUCCUGGCUGCCCAGGACCGAGCGCAGGACAGGUGUUCUCCGGCUUCUGCGCCUUCCUCUCAGAAGAGACACCUGAUAAAUCAUCGGAAGUUAAUGAUCAAAAAGCUUAUCUGAGCCUUUUCGUUUAUAAAUGUAUAAGAGAAAAGAGAAAUAAUAAAGCCACUGGAUAAUUAGUAACCAGUCCAGUCCUGAAGCUCUGGAAACCAAGCUGACCCUAGAUCUCAAUGCAGAGUCAGGGCAAGUUGGGGGACGAGAAGGGGUCAUCUGAAGGGCAGGGUAGCCUGGAAGUCGAGCCCAAGAAGGGAAAUUAGCAAAGGAAGAAGGAAGUCUUUGGGGCAAGUCUUCUUAGCAGCAACAGAGGAAGAGGAGGGAGCCCAGAGGCCUGCCUGCUUCACCCCACAGGGGAGGGAAGGAAACCGCUUUACCCAAAGCAUAAGCGCACACGGGGAGAUGGUGAAGGCAACGCAGCAGACAGAACGUUUGAUCCUGCUUAACCCCAGUUCUGUCACGGGUUAUAGAAAAACCACAAUCUCUCAGUCCAUGUCCAUGAAAUGGAUACAGGGUUGAGCUACUUCUUUGCUUACAAAAAUGUGGCAGGAUAGAACUGCAUGAUUGUGCUUUCACUGUCCCCAAAGGCAACCUAGAGACAUUUUAAAAUAAACAUGUUACAUAGUCAUAAGGCACCUUGAAGACUAGUAAGAAGACAUCUUUGAUUUGUUUUGGUUCUAAAUAUUGGCUUUACUGGUUGAUUAUUAACUUGUAAACUACUGUUAUUGGCUGGAAUUUCGUAACAAUUGUGUUUUUCUUUGGAUCUGUACAAUGGCUUAGUAAAGGCUCAUAAUGAAUAUGAUGAUGAUGAUGGUGAUUAACCAGUUGCGCAAUAAGCUUCCUUGAUCCAUUGCUAGAAGCACUUGGCUUAGCCUGCAAAGGCAAAAGGGGUAUUUUAAUGACAAGCCUCCCUCCACCCGCUAACUGAGAAGAAAACAAUAAAUAAAAUCUUGCAUUUUUCUAUGA